AGCACGAUAACCUCGGGAAACCGAGGCUAAUAGUGCAUAUCACACUCACUCUGGAGUGAGGAGUGUGUCAAACGCUCCGGCGCCGAAGGAUGUGGCUGCGGCCGAUUAGGUAGACGGUGGGGUAACGGCCCACCGUGCCGAUAAUCGGUACGGGUCAUGAGAGUGAGAACCCGGAGACGGAAUCUGAGACAAGAUUCCGGGCCCUACGGGGCGCAGCAGGCGCGAAACCUUUACACUGCACGCCAGUGCGAUAAGGGAAUCCCAAGUGCACAGGCAUAGAGCCUGUGCUUUUCUGAACCGUAGGGAGGUUCAGGAACAAGGGCCGGGCAAGACCGGUGCCAGCCGCCGCGGUAAUACCGGCAGCCCAAGUGAUGGCCGAUUUUAUUGGGCCUAAAGCGUCCGUAGCUGGCCGCGCAAGUCUAUCGGGAAAUCUAUCCGCUCAACGGAUAGACGCCCGGUGGAAACUGCGUGGCUUGGGACCGGAAGGCGCGAAGGGUACGUUCCGGGGUAGGAGUGAAAUCCUGUAAUCCUGGACGGACCGCCGAUGGCGAAAGCACUUCGCGAGGACGGAUCCGACAGUGAGGGACGAAAGCUAGGGUCUCGAACCGGAUUAGAUACCCGGGUAGUCCUAGCCGUAAACGAUGCCUGUUAGGUGUGGCUCCCACUACGAGUGGGUGCUGUGCCGUAGGGAAGCCGCUAAACAGGCCGCCUGGGAAGUACGUCCGCAAGGAGUAAAUCAA
This 740-nucleotide ribosomal RNA is filed under the name uncultured haloarchaeon. RNAcentral describes it as "bacterial SSU rRNA". It matches the Rfam family "Archaeal small subunit ribosomal RNA", at positions 120 to 859 of the family's 1478-position model. Lineage: Archaea; Methanobacteriati; Methanobacteriota; Halobacteria; Halobacteriales; Halobacteriaceae. The record is from RNAcentral.